RNAcentral lists this long non-coding RNA (1060 nucleotides) under Panicum hallii. Its description in RNAcentral is "long non-coding RNA (PHAL_LNC000459)". Lineage: Eukaryota; Viridiplantae; Streptophyta; Magnoliopsida; Poales; Poaceae. The record is from RNAcentral.
GCUGCUGCUGCUGCUCAGGGAAUGCUAAACAGCGAAACUGCUCAAGGUGGUGAAAAUAUAAAACUUGGUGAAGCAGACACUGAAGUGCAAUUGCCACCUUCAUCUGUUGAGGAGGCCAUGGUUGACAUAUGUAGCGAGCCACCCAGCCAUGAGGUGAAGGAGGCUCCAACCAGUGAUCCAUCAGGGAGUAGUGAAAAUGUCGAGAUGGAAAAUGCUGCUGCUGCUGCUGCUCAGGGACUGCUGAACACUGAACCUGCUCCUGGUGGUGAAAAUGCAAAGCUUGGUGAUGCUGACACUGAAGUGCAAUUGCCACCUUCAUCUGUUGAGGAGGCCAUGGUAGACAUAUGUAGAGAGCCACCCAGCCAUGUGGUGAAGGAGGCUCCAAGCAGUGAUCCAUCAGGGAGUAAUGAAAAUGUCGAGACAGAGAAAGCUGCUGCUGCUGCUGCUGCUGCUGCUGCUCAGGUACAGCUAAACACCAAACCUGCUCCUGGUGGUGAAAAUGCGAAGCAUGGUGAAGCUGACACUGAAGUGCAAUUGCCACCUUCAUCUGUUGAGGAGACCAUGGUAGACAUAUGUAGUGAGCCACCCAGCCAUGAGGCGAAGGAGGCUCCAAGCAGUGAUCCAUCAGGGAGUAACGAAAAUGUCGAGACGGAAAAUGCUGCUGCUGCUGCACAGGUACUGCUAAACCUCGAACCUGCUCCUGGUGGUGAAAAUGCAAAGCAUGGUGAAGCUGACACUGAACAGCAAUUGCCGCCUUCCUCUGGUGAGCCGAUGGUAGAUGUAUCUCAUGAGUUACCAAGCCAAGAGGUAAAGGAGGCUCCAAGCAUCAGCCCUUUAGGAAAUGAUGAAGAUGCGAAGAUGAAAGAGGCCCCUGCUGCUCAGGGACCACUAAACAUGGAAACUGCUCGUGGUGGUGAAAAUGCAAAACUCGGUGAAGCUGGCAUGGAGCUGCAAUUGCCACCUUCAUCUGGUGAGGCAAUGGUAGAGAUAUCUAGUGAGCCACUCAGCCAUGAUGCCGGCUGUGAAUCUUCAAAACUUGCUGGAGCUGAUACGGAACUGC